AACGCAAAUUGCGCUCGAGUCUUCGGCCAAGAGCAUGUCUGCCUCAGCGUCGGGUUAAUACUCACAUUUGCACUCCAUCCAGAGUGCACAUGUGUAUCUUGCUGUCGCGGUUUAUUUUAAUUAAUUAACCGGGUCAGCUGAAGCGCAGAUGUCAAGGCAUGUACCGUUAGAUCGGGCUUCUACUGGGUAGGCAACUUGUGUGCUGUUUUGCUUUAGUAGAUUGCUUGGGUACUGUCUUUGGCAUGAAGCAGGAGUAUCUGUUCAUACAGGUACAACCAAUACCAUUUUCUCGACCUGAGCUCAGGCAAGAUUACCCGCUGAACUUAA
Molecule: unclassified non-coding RNA, 327 nt
Filed under: uncultured fungus
Lineage: Eukaryota; Fungi
Description: partial contains 5.8S rRNA and ITS2
Source: RNAcentral